RNAcentral lists this unclassified non-coding RNA (329 nucleotides) under soil metagenome. RNAcentral's name for it is "partial contains 5.8S ribosomal RNA, internal transcribed spacer 2, and large subunit ribosomal RNA". The stretch from base 1 to 120 matches the Rfam family "5.8S ribosomal RNA", at positions 35 to 154 of the family's 154-position model. The record is from RNAcentral.
GAUGAAGAACGUAGCGAAAUGCGAUAAGUAGUGUGAAUUGCAGAAUUCAGUGAAUCAUCGAAUCUUUGAACGCACAUUGCGCCCCUUGGUAUUCCGAGGGGCAUGCCUGCUCGAGCGUCAUUAUAACCCCUCAAGCUCAGCUUGGUGUUGGGGCCUGCUGCACUGGCAGCCCUUAAAAUCAGUGGCGGCGCCAUCUGGCUCUAAGCGUAGUAAUUCUUCUCGCUAUGGAGUCCUGGUGGAUGCUUGCCAUCAACCCCCAAUUUUUCUAUGGUUGACCUCGGAUCAGGUAGGGAUACCCGCUGAACUUAAGCAUAUCAAUAAGCGGAGGA